Etheostoma spectabile (orangethroat darter) is the source of this 118-nucleotide long non-coding RNA. RefSeq lists it as uncharacterized. The record is from RefSeq and is a predicted model, not a curated record. Lineage: Eukaryota; Metazoa; Chordata; Actinopteri; Perciformes; Percidae. The transcript is spliced from 3 exons.
AACAGAUUAGAGAAGGGGUGUCAAACUCAAGUUCCCUAAGGGCCACAUCGUAAAAAGAGAAUCCCAUCAAGGGCCAGACAUGUAUACUUUAUUGACAUGCUUUUAUUCACUCAAAAAA